This 61-nucleotide transfer RNA is filed under the name Dipodomys ordii (Ord's kangaroo rat). It matches the Rfam family "tRNA", at positions 6 to 65 of the family's 71-position model. Rfam says of the family: Transfer RNA (tRNA) molecules are approximately 80 nucleotides in length. Their secondary structure includes four short double-helical elements and three loops (D, anti-codon, and T loops). Lineage: Eukaryota; Metazoa; Chordata; Mammalia; Rodentia; Heteromyidae. The record is from Rfam by way of RNAcentral.
GGUGGCUCAGUGGUAGAGUGCUUGCCUUGCAUCCAUGAGGCCUGGGGUUCAAUUCCUCACC